UUAUUAUAAGAAAAUUAAAAGAAACUUGUGUCUAUUAUAAGUUCAAUUGUAUAUAUAAUUUUUUAGAUAAAGAAAUAGAUGUCGAAGAAACCUAAGCAAACUUAUGAAUUAUCGAAUUGAUUUUUUCAGCAAUCUAUAAAGGUUUUUUCAGUGUUACUAUUUUUGGAUUCAUUGCCAAUCAAAGUAGUGCUUUUAAUAUUAACAGAUGAACUCUUUCUAGUAUGUCUCCUUGUCAAUAGUUUGUUGUAUGAUUAUGUUAAUUUAAUGAAUACAAUUUUAAAAAUGUAUUCUACAAAAUUAAGCAAAGCUCAGACGGAAGCCAAAGAUGCAAAUGGUUUUGGCGGUACACAUCCUGAUUCAAAAUACCCAUGUAACUUUUUAUUGAAUUAGAAAUAUAAUACUUUUCAUAUUAAGAAUGUAAA
Non-coding RNA from Hydra vulgaris (swiftwater hydra), 422 nucleotides. The record is from RefSeq and is a predicted model, not a curated record. NCBI's taxonomy places the organism in Eukaryota, Metazoa, Cnidaria, Hydrozoa, Anthoathecata, Hydridae.